ACUUUUUUUUUUUUUUUUUUUUUUUUUUUUUUUUUUUUUUUUUUUUUUUUUUUUUUUUUUUUUUUUUUUUUUAACAGAGCACAAGUUCAGACUUCUGCACUUG
Molecule: non-coding RNA, 103 nt
Filed under: Alexandrium minutum
Lineage: Eukaryota; Dinophyceae; Gonyaulacales; Pyrocystaceae
Source: RNAcentral